UACAGGACCAGUUUGACCAGAAGAUUGGAAGACACACAUGCCUCUUUUCCACCCACACAGAGCUGCUGAGGAUCCAGUUCUCUCACAUACUUCAAAAGCCUUAAGAAGAGAUAGAAGAGAUUAUUAUCCAGCAUUAGUAUCUGAAUCUGGAAUCAUUUCUAUGGAAACUAGACUUUCAGCUUAAUUUAAACCUUAAAUGUAAUCUCAGGUAGUCAGGUUUAAACUCAGGUUCAGUUAUUCACUGAAAGUACCAACAGACUCAGACAUUUAGAACAAACUAAGAUCAUCGGUGCUGGAGGAAAUGUCUGCUGUGGCUGCAUCACUCUGCUCAACUUUGCUGUUAUUCAGCCUCUGCAUGUUUACCUCUGCAGACCGGAAAAUCAUCACAGCUGAGUCUGGACAGGAUGUCACUCUAAUAUGUCGAGCUCCAAACAACAACAUCAUAGAAGCUGUUAAGUGGACCAGACCAGGCCUGGAGACAGGAAAUGUCCUUUUGUACCCCGAUGAUUACUUUGAUUCAUCCAACCAGCAUCCAUCUUUUAAGAACCGGGUGGAUCUGCAGGACAAACAGAUGAAGGAUGGAGACGUGUCUUUGAUUCUGAAGAAUGUGACGAUUAAUGAUUCUGCAACAUACGAGUGUCGUGUCUUCAUGGAAGAAACACGCUCAUGGGAGCUCAUCAGGAUCAUCCACCUGAGAGUUGUUCCUCCAGGUCAGCCAAGAGGAGUCACAGAGGAUGGAGGGAAGAAGGAUGGAAGGAAGAAGGAUGAAUCUGUUGGACUAAUAAAUCUACUUUUCCUGGUAGUUUCUGCUGUGCCCGUUGUUGUUAGUGGUAGUAUUACUGUAGUUGUUGGUGUUAUUUUUCUUCCUGUUUUUAUGAUGUGCAAAUAUUGUAAUGACAAGGGUUCAUACAAGGUACCUGAACGUGAUUACAUCUAGUGAUCAACUAUCCUACAUUCAUCAGCAGAUGAAUUUAGAUGUCAGACAUUCAGAAAACACAAACACUGUAUGUGAUGAUCUGGGUUUAGAUGAAGUUCUGUGGCUUAUAUAUGAUCAAUAAUGUGCCUGAUAAUGUUCAGGAUCUAUUGAUCAGCUAUGACUGGAUGACAUUUGGCACAGUUUGGGAAUUAUAAGGGUCGUAUAAAGAAUUGUAUAAAAUGCUUCAAAGCAGAGUUGUUGUUGUUUUUUUUUAUCUUGAUCUAAACUAUGACUCUUUCCUCCUCGAGUGCAGCAACUCUGUGUGACAAUCCCCUCUUUAGGUGAAGGGUUUUUUUUCUUUUUUAAUUAACAAGUUUGCAUAAUCAUUUAAGUCAGUUCAGUUUAUCAAAGGUUGAAUCUUAUAGAGUGUUUAAAGUGUUUUAUGAAAGUAAAGAUCCAUGUAGUUGUACACUGACACGUUUCUCUCCUUCUGAUCUCUCGAUAACCUCUUAUCUAACCUUUGUUACAAGAAAGCUAUAUAAUAUAAAUUCUGUGACAUUCUUCAUCAUGUGCAGCAUUGCUUAAACUUUUUCCAUUUUUAAUUCUUUUUCAAUAAAUAUUUACAUGUAAACCAAAUGAACGUCCUUUUUUGUGCAUGUUUUUGUGAUGUACUAUGAUUUGAAAGCUUUUAUUUAUUUAUUUUAAAUGAGAAAGUGAAGUGUAUCAGAGAUCUUUGUGAACUUUUCCUGGUAAUAACCUUGUAAUAAUAAUAAAAAUAAUAACA
Oreochromis aureus is the source of this 1700-nucleotide long non-coding RNA. Lineage: Eukaryota; Metazoa; Chordata; Actinopteri; Cichliformes; Cichlidae. The record is from Ensembl.